Long non-coding RNA from Pipra filicauda (Wire-tailed manakin), 1799 nucleotides. RefSeq lists it as uncharacterized. The transcript is spliced from 3 exons. NCBI's taxonomy places the organism in Eukaryota, Metazoa, Chordata, Aves, Passeriformes, Pipridae. The record is from RefSeq and is a predicted model, not a curated record.
AAUAAGCCUGUGAACCAUUAUCAAUUAUUUACAUUUUUUAUAUCCCUUGUGAUAUUUAUAGAUGAAGUCCAGCAGGUGAAAAUAUAAUACUUACUUUACAUGACUAGAACAAUUCAGAUGCCAGCCUAUAGAGCAAUGGGUCUUGAUGUCAAACACUUCAUGAUAAUGCAGAAAUAUAGAAAGAAGAAUCUUAAUUUGUGCUACUAUACUUUUUGAAGUCUUCUGGUGAAAUUUAUGACCAGAGUGAACAUGGCCAGCAUUACAGCAUCAUGAAGUCCACAUAGACCACAACAUCCCUGCUGUUUCAGACAUGAAGACAGGCAAACAAUUCCUCGUCUCAGACCCAGCCAGAAGUGUCUGGGACCAUGGGUGCUCCUGGUGUUCAGCACUACGGACAGCGCUGCGCAUUCCUUCAGGGCAGGUCCCCGCUUCCUUAUCUGAGGCACGAGAAUCCGUGUAGUAUGCGAGUCACACACCAGAGCCCGUACAACAGGAGACAUGAUUUGUUGUUGCUGGUAUAUUAACUCUUUGUUUCCAGCAGGUGGAGAGGCUUCAAACGCCAAAGAACACGCCAGGCUAUUUUUCCGUGCUUGCCAAGGAAAUGCAUCUACUUUGUCUCUAGGCAAAAUGUAAAACCAACAAAUAACUUUUCAGCAACUAAUUUUGUUUGAGUAAUAAUGGUUUCUGGCUUGGCUAGUUUCUGAUGCAUAAUGAUCAGGUGGGUUAAGACCUUGAGGCAUUUCCUGAGUCUUUGCAUUCAGCCUUGACUGCUUGUUAAAAAAUGAAAAAUGUAGCUAGACUCAAACCUUCAAGCCAGUGGAACACUGUCCUCAGGCUGAAGCCUAAUGUGAAGCUGAUAAUUUAUUUUAAUCCACUCAUAUGCUAGUCUUAUUAACAGGAAGACAGAUUUACUGCAUUGUUUAUUACUCAGGAAGUUGAUCACUGGCAGAUGUUUUUCUGAACUGGUACUUUAUUAGAUGAGUAAAAGUGCUGUUUAAGACUGUGUUUCACUAUUGUCAUAGCUAUCAAAAUAUAUUAUGCUACAAAACAGUGAUCUAGAAAUAAAAAAUACGAAUGUAAUUACAUACGUAUCAGAAAUAUCUCCUCAAAUUCAAAUGCUUUCUAUUAUUACAAAAACUGAAAAUAAACCAAAGAGUGUACGGGAAAAGGUAUAAAUGAUUAUUCUCUUUUGAAUUUUAUAAAGCAAGAGAAUCUGAUAAAUAUCUAUUUACUACUGUUAAAUUCUACACAUCUCACCCCAUGGGAUAUUCCAGAAGAUUUCUUUCUAGUCUGAUCAUACUGAUCCACAAUGAUCCCAACUGUUUCAUGUGAUCAAUCACACAUCCUGAGGAUAAUUGUCUUUUGGAAAGCUACCUAAAGACAAUAGCGUGUUUCUUAACAACAAAAAUGUAUCUGUUCCAGAUGAAGGCUAUCUUGCUGCUCUUGGUAAGGUGCUUUUCCGUGCCAAAACUAACAUGCUAGCCCUAGUGAUAAAGCAGUUCAAAAUUCUGGCAGUUCACUGGACCUGAUUAUGUGUAUUUAAGCUUUGUUAAUUAUAAAUUAACUUGAAUAGCCAAAUGCAAAGAAUCUUCUGACACAGUGUCAUGAAAAACAACCACAAGCAUUUGGAAAACAAAUUAAUAUUAAUAAACUGAUUUAAAUUUCAUCUUGCAAAAUGGUAAAAUUAUUGGGUAGGUACAGUAUGUUUCCUUAAACCAUCUUGUGCGGGAGCUGCUUUAUGCUGAUGACGCCGCCCUUGUCGCCCACACAGAAGCAGCUCUGCAGCGUUUAACAUCCUG